GACGAACGCUGGCGGCGUGCUUAACACAUGCAAGUCGAACGGAAAGGCCCUGCUUUUGUGGGGUGCUCGAGUGGCGAACGGGUGAGUAACACGUGAGUAGCCUGCCCUUUACUUUGGGAUAACUUCAGGAAACUGGGGCUAAUACCGGGUAUAAGCUCCUGCUGCAUGGGGGGGGUUGGAAAGUUUCGGAGUUUGGGGAUGGACUCGCGGCUUAUCAGCUUGUUGGUGGGGUAGUGGCUUACCAAGGCGUUGACGGGUAGCCGGCCUGAGAGGGUGACCGGCCACAUUGGGCCUGAGAUACGGCCCAGACUCCUACGGGAGGCAGCAGUGGGGAAUUGUGCAAGAUGGGCGGAAGCCUGAUGCAGCAACUCCGCGUGCGGGAUGACGGCCUUCGGGUUGUAAACCGCUUUCGCCUGUGACGAAGCGUGAGUGACGGUAAUGGGUAAAGAAGCACCGGCUAACUACGUG
RNAcentral lists this ribosomal RNA (468 nucleotides) under uncultured bacterium. RNAcentral describes it as "partial 16S ribosomal RNA". It matches the Rfam family "Bacterial small subunit ribosomal RNA", at positions 28 to 507 of the family's 1533-position model. The record is from RNAcentral.